Long non-coding RNA from Podarcis raffonei (Aeolian wall lizard), 670 nucleotides. RefSeq lists it as uncharacterized. NCBI's taxonomy places the organism in Eukaryota, Metazoa, Chordata, Lepidosauria, Squamata, Lacertidae. The record is from RefSeq and is a predicted model, not a curated record. The transcript is spliced from 2 exons.
UCACAAUAACCAAUUGGCUUUACAAAACCUACAUCUAUGCACCUGACUUGUUUUUUUCCGCUUUGAAAUUUCUACGGGGCAAGGAGAAAAGAGUUUCCCCAACUUCCUCAGCUGGUUUGAUAAUAUUGCUCCAUGGAUCACUUGUAAAGUUCGGAAGGUCAUGGCGAAUGUUUGGCCUAAAUUGACCUUCCCUGUAAUAUGAAGCCAUUCGUUUUUGUCCUUGCAGAAACAGAAACAAAUCAAACCGGGACGCAGGUACCCACUUGCCCUGCAGACCUGGUGAUUCUGAUGAAGAGAAACCACAGCUAAUGGGCUGGCAAGUGUCAUCUGCUAACUUGUGCAACAACUCAUUUAGGGCAGGCCUGGGACCCUGCCCCACCCCCAUCACCACCCAGCAAACUGAUGAGGAAGCCUAGCAAACUGAACUUAAAGAUUGGGAAAAUGAAAAACUGAAGUCAACAACUUCAUCCAUGCUUAUCCACAAGUGAAGAUCCUAGUUAUCCAGAGGUCGAUGAGCUUCCUAUUAUUCCCAGGUCCCCCAGAAUUGAUACCGCUGUCUUCUGCCCUCUCCAUAAUUGCCGGCAGCAUCGCAUGGAGUGUCAUAGAGGUGCCAGCUACUUCCACAGCUGUUUUUAUUGCUUUGUCUCCACUCAAAUAACAAGUGAAAGAG